Molecule: ribosomal RNA, 706 nt
Filed under: Caballeronia glathei
Lineage: Bacteria; Pseudomonadati; Pseudomonadota; Betaproteobacteria; Burkholderiales; Burkholderiaceae
Description: bacterial SSU rRNA
Rfam family: Bacterial small subunit ribosomal RNA
Source: RNAcentral
GGACAUGGGGGAAACCCUGAUCCAGCAAUGCCGCGUGUGUGAAGAAGGCCUUCGGGUUGUAAAGCACUUUUGUCCGGAAAGAAAACUUCUGCCCUAAUACGGUGGGAGGAUGACGGUACCGGAAGAAUAAGCACCGGCUAACUACGUGCCAGCAGCCGCGGUAAUACGUAGGGUGCGAGCGUUAAUCGGAAUUACUGGGCGUAAAGCGUGCGCAGGCGGGUUCGUUAAGACAGAUGUGAAAUCCCCGGGCUUAACCUGGGAACUGCAUUUGUGACUGGCGAGCUAGAGUAUGGCAGAGGGGGGUAGAAUUCCACGUGUAGCAGUGAAAUGCGUAGAGAUGUGGAGGAAUACCGAUGGCGAAGGCAGCCCCCUGGGCCAAUACUGACGCUCAUGCACGAAAGCGUGGGGAGCAAACAGGAUUAGAUACCCUGGUAGUCCACGCCCUAAACGAUGUCAACUAGUUGUUGGGUCUUCAUUGACUUAGUAACGUAGCUAACGCGUGAAGUUGACCGCCUGGGGAGUACGGUCGCAAGAUUAAAACUCAAAGGAAUUGACGGGGACCCGCACAAGCGGUGGAUGAUGUGGAUUAAUUCGAUGCAACGCGAAAAACCUUACCUACCCUUGACAUGGUCGGAACCCUGCUGAAAGGUGGGGGUGCUCGAAAGAGAACCGAUACACAGGUGCUGCAUGGCUGUCGUCAGUCGGU